CUUAGUUUCUUUCAAGCUGUUAUGCCAGUUUUCGGUAGAGUUUUUAGUUUCCUGGUAAUCUCUUUGAACCUGCUUCAUGUAUUCUAUGCUUUCUCUAUUUUCUCCAUUAAACAAUUCUCCCCUCUUUUUCUGCUCUUCCAUUCCACCAUCUGUUUUUUCUUGGGUGGUGCUUAGCAUUUCUCUAACUAUUCUGCUUAUGUCUAGCUUCAGGUCAUUAAUAACUUCAUUCCUGAACUUGUCUAUGAGACUCUAGAGACAGCGCUUUAUAUCUAUUGGUGCUGUGUCUGCUAUUGCCUCUUUCCCAGGAUUGGGGGCCGAGGAGCCUUUCUUAUUGUUGCCUCUUCCCAUAUUCUUUGUUCCUUAUAUAUGCAAGCAUAUAUAGGAGGCCCAGCUUCCUUCCCUGUCAGCCACAGUCUGAUUGAAUUGCGCCGGCUAGGUGUUCCCACCCACCGCAGUGCACCAGGAAGUUGCAGACCAGGCAGCCUAUGCGGGACCCGCCCCUCCAGGUCAAUCUACCUUCAGGCGCUGGGACCUGGGUUGUGCUAGCCUACUGGGUCUCAGCCAGCAGCAUCACGUAGGCUAGGCACUGCUCACCAAUUCUGCUUGAGAGGGGGAUACGUGACUGAAGUCACUGCAGCGCCCUGUUCCCACAAGUCUGCCCGGACCCAGAAUGUCCUCUGUUGGAGUCUCCUAGACCGCGGAAGAGUCCCAGUUUCUCUCACUCACCGCAGCCAUACCAGCCCGUGGCCGUGAGGACAGGAGUAACCGCCUGGCUGAUUGCAGGAGGGCGAUGCCUAAACUCACACUGGCAUCCGCUGAGACCUGCACAGCUGUGGGCUCCCAGGUACCAGUCUUGUGACUGUGUCGCCGGAGUGUGAGUGCAUCCUGGGCUCCUGCCUGGCCAGGUGUCUGCGCAGAUAACAAUGGUUAAAGUCCACAGCGCUGUCCUGUGAUGGGCGUCCUGCACUCGCUCCUGAUCCAGAGUUCACUGGGGACUCCGCACAACCUUGGCACCAGCUGCAACAGGUGGACCUUGGCUUGGACUGUGGACUGUUCAGGACACUCAUAAGACACCGGAGUGCCAGACGGGUGAUGCAGUUGAGCCAGGGUUAAUUUUCGUAGACAGCUGGUGGGGGUCAGCAUCCUGUCCCCUGGGAGCCAGCACACACCUCAGCUUUUCAGGGGGGAGCUUCAGGGUUCAGGAUGGCUAGAACUCAUUUUCAGGGUUCAUGUUUAAAUAACAGAUGUGCCUUCUACAGAGAGAUACUGUGAACGUGGCUAAAUGUGAAAAGAAUGAAUAUUCUUUGAACUAAUAAUUUUUCAAUAUCUUUCUAUAUAUGAAAUAAAAAAAUAAAAUAUUUAGAGGAAAAGCUAAAAGUACAAUUUGGAAAAUC
Cavia porcellus (domestic guinea pig) is the source of this 1394-nucleotide long non-coding RNA. RefSeq lists it as uncharacterized. The transcript has 3 exons. The record is from RefSeq and is a predicted model, not a curated record. Lineage: Eukaryota; Metazoa; Chordata; Mammalia; Rodentia; Caviidae.